This is a long non-coding RNA of Cucumis melo (muskmelon), 824 nucleotides long. RefSeq lists it as uncharacterized. The record is from RefSeq and is a predicted model, not a curated record. The transcript has 3 exons. Lineage: Eukaryota; Viridiplantae; Streptophyta; Magnoliopsida; Cucurbitales; Cucurbitaceae.
CCCUCGGAGCCGGCCGUAGUAGAGCCGAACCACCAUCCCAGCCGCGCCGCGUCUGCAAGCCGAAUCCGGAGCCGCUCCUCAUCCGCGCAGCCGAGCGCCGUAUCCGCAGCCAGCCACGCCGCGCCGCGUAGAUCCGACGCAGCGCAGCCGGGACUCGUCGAGACAGCCGAAGCCAGCCAGCCGCGCCGCUCCGAUCGAAGCCGAAGGGAGCCGCUUCGAUCCGCGCACAGCCGUCUCCCGCAGCCGCCACUCGAAGCCGAUCCGCCGCGCGUGCCUCCAGCCGUCGAAGCCGAACCCACGUUUCGGCCGACGCCCGAACCCGAAACCGAUCCGCGCCCGCUCGCCCGAAACCGACCCGCGCCCGCUCGCCCGAAACCGAACCCGCUCCACGCUCGCGCACGCCCGCUCCGAGUCGCAAGCCGAGCCCGCGCGCGCCCAUCCCACGCCACGAGCCGCGCCGGUCUGCACCACAAGCCGCGCCGCGCCGCCUGCACUGCAAGCCGAGCCGCGCCUCCUUGCUGACGCGAGCCGAGCCGCACGCGCAAGAUCCUUGCGCCAAGCCGAGCCGAGCCGAUCUCUGUCUCCUUCCAGCCGAGCCGCCAAGCCUAAUUUGGCUCCUUCCACCUAAUUUUUGGGACGUCUUGGACCAAGUAACUGCUGCAGCGGGGGAUUUCUUCAGUAGGGGCUUGAGCACUGCAAUCUCCUUCUAGGUUAGGACCUCGUCGCUUGGAAAGCGUACUGCCUCGCGGUUAGGACUCGUCAAGUAAAUCUCCAGGUAAGAGAUUCUACUACUAGCUCCACGCUUAGAAAUAUGAGAUGAUGUA